RNAcentral lists this long non-coding RNA (2270 nucleotides) under Hordeum vulgare. Its description in RNAcentral is "long non-coding RNA (HVUL_LNC014313)". The record is from RNAcentral. Lineage: Eukaryota; Viridiplantae; Streptophyta; Magnoliopsida; Poales; Poaceae.
UGCCUUCGUUCUACCAUGCUGCUGGCAUCUUUGGAAGCUGAAACUAGUGGCUACUCUAGGGUGUAGUACACCUAAGUUUGCAAAAAAUUGAAAAUAAUGUGAUCAAACAUUAUGCAAAAAAAAAAAAAAGAGAAAUUUGGGACAUCAAAUAGUAUCAGAUUUGUGAGGUUCUUGCAAAAUUUCAUCGAAAAAUAACAUCCGAGGAGCUCUAAAAUAACAAAAUCACUACUCAAAAAGUGCACACAACUUUCAGCAGCGAUUUUAUUUUUGUUUUGAUGAAACUUGGCAAGAAUCUCAAUCAUAUGAUAAUGUUUGAUGUAGAACCAUCUAUGAUUUUCUGGAUUUCGUUUAAUAAACAUUUUUCAACUUUUUUGCUAACUCGGGUGUAGUACACCCGAGAGUAGAAAAUCAUGUCUACUUUAAAAGCAUCAAAACAAUGUCAUGUUAUGGGGUCAGCCGCAGUCUCUUACCCACUUAAGAAAGGAUUGCCGCGAUUACGCUAUCCUCUGGCGACCACCCUAGCCCCACACUCACCGUCCGGUGGUGGACAGGUGGCUAUUGUGCCUUUGUGGCGAGGCCCAUUAGUUAUCCUCUGUUCCUACUUUUGAAGUCUGCCUCCCUUUGAAAUAUAUAUUCAGGUGGGGAAUCUCUGCCCUUCGGUGACAUUCAAAAAAAAAUCCCUUUGCCAAAACAAAUGUCAUCUGUACGCCACCAUACGACCUUCCAAUGAGGCCAGAAUCCGAGGUCACGAUCAUGACCUUUCGUGCCUCGGUUGCGAGCGAGAAGAGCACAAAUAUGGGGCUGCGAAAUGAUAGGUCCAUGUUGAGCAUCCAUGGAAGCUCAUGGCUUUGCUGAUACGCCGAUGGAGGCCAGCAAUACCAUCCAAGCGGUUUCCCAAGCUCCAUGACACUUGAUAUUCAUGGAAUCGGCGUGUUUGAGACAUCGGCCAUCGAACUUGAACUUGUUGGUGCAUGGAACUCACGUUUCAGCAGCACUUUGGUUUGUGGAUGGUUGUGAAAUGAAAGCUUUUUAUAAACUUAUAUGAACUUCAAUGGCGAAAGAAAGAGAAGCUUGCCAUAAUAAAGCACAACCUUUCGCACUCCAAUAGUCAUACAUAGUUGUAAGGUUAUGCCCGAUGGUGUCAAAAAUGCCGGUGCUACAUAUGAACGCGCCAUAGGCCCAUGACUAAUAUCCUGGAUGAUAUAAUACAAAAGAUGGUCGAGUACUAUGUACAUGAUCUCGGCCGGGGGUCAUCCUCCUUUUCAAAAACAUGUACAUGAUCUCGUAGUAAAGGUGGUAUAUCCGGCCUUCACUUGCACAAUCGUGUGAAAAAAGUCUGUGUUGCUCUGUUUCAGUAUUCAUUUAGUUAUCUUCAUCAAAUUAGUAUUUCUGUUCAACAGCAGACCCAUUUGAACUUGUUGCCAUUCUUUUCAUGUGAGUUGGCUUUAAGAAAACAUAGUAUUUUCCAUCAUUUAGUUUUCGGCAAGGAAUCAUACACGAGAAAUGCAAUUAGGAUGUCACAUGACUGAAAAGACAUGAUUGAGUGGCUUGCUUAAGGCAUAUCCCAUGCUCACAGUUUAUUUAUCUAUUUCCUAGAAAGAGGUAACGAAGAAAUACAUGCAUAGAAAUCCUAUAUAUACUCCACUGUCUUAGGAUGACAACAUGAAUGCGAUGUGUUUCUAGAUUUGCUUCUCUCUUUGUCCAGCUGCAGUCAUCUAAAAUAUUGGAGGAAAACAAAUAUUGGAGUAUACAUGUUGUUGGAGUUAAUCGCGACUAAUCCCCCAACCGCGAGUGUGUCCAGUUCAGGAUACAUGUACGUAUCCGAAUAGAGCUAGAAUUAGUCACCGAGUAGUAUUGGCUGGCUAGCUUGUUCUAUUUAUACAUACGUACCCGGCUUGUAAACCGUAUCAAUUGAAAGCAAUACAAAGAUAUUGACGGGAGCGACACGCUCCCGUGGCGAUCAACUCGGCGUGUCUUCGUGCAGUUCUCGCGUGUGUUGUUCCGACGAAUCGGAUCGAUCAAAUAAGUGGUUGUUGUACGUCCGUGUUCGCUAGUACGUAGAAGCUAGCUUUCCAGGAUCCAUCCACGAGCUUGUGUGCGUACUUGUGUUAAGUACGUGUGCAUCCAGGUCAACUUUCUGUUAUACGGUGCAGCUCGGCGUAAAGUAUCUCGACGAGAUUGCAUCGGCAGGGAGUGGUUCAAGUCACCGUUGCUGUGCUUCGUCGUCGUUUGUCGUCGGUCGUCGCGUGUCGUGGGAAAGUACUCCACGC